AUUGAACGCUGGCGGCAGGCCUAACACAUGCAAGUCGAACGGUAACAGGAAACAGCUUGCUGUUUCGCUGACGAGUGGCGGACGGGUGAGUAAUGUCUGGGAAACUGCCUGAUGGAGGGGGAUAACUACUGGAAACGGUAUCUAAUACCGCAUAACGUCGCAAGACCAAAGAGGGGGACCUUCGGGCCUCUUGCCAUCGGAUGUGCCCAGAUGGGAUUAGCUAGUAGGUGGGGUAACGGCUCACCUAGGCGACGAUCCCUAGCUGGUCUGAGAGGAUGACCAGCCACACUGGAACUGAGACACGGUCCAGACUCCUACGGGAGGCAGCAGUGGGGAAUAUUGCACAAUGGGCGCAAGCCUGAUGCAGCCAUGCCGCGUGUAUGAAGAAGGCCUUCGGGUUGUAAAGUACUUUCAGCGGGGAUGAAGGGAGUAAAGUUAAUACCUUUGCUCAUUGACGUUACCCGCAGAAGAAGCACCGGCUAACUCCGUG
Molecule: ribosomal RNA, 490 nt
Filed under: uncultured bacterium
Lineage: Bacteria
Description: partial 16S ribosomal RNA
Rfam family: Bacterial small subunit ribosomal RNA
Source: RNAcentral